GGUUAAGUGUUAAGUGGUCUUCUUAAUGCUCUGCCCACUAAAGGUGAUGUCACUGGAACCAUGAGGGUCUCCCACGGAUUCCAGCACCAUCUUGUUGCACGAGGUAGUUAGUUGGUGUUAUAGGAAGGGAGGGGUUAGAAGCUUCUAGUAGCCAUUUUGUCUAGAUAUGCGUGUGUAGCUUAUAUACUGAUUUUAGUGAGAUGAGUAAAUAUACAUUUUACUAACUAGAAAAUAUAUC
Molecule: non-coding RNA, 238 nt
Organism: Pelobates cultripes (western spadefoot toad)
Lineage: Eukaryota; Metazoa; Chordata; Amphibia; Anura; Pelobatidae
Source: the annotation of a GenBank genome assembly